AGGAUGAACGCUAGCUACAGGCUUAACACAUGCAAGUCGAGGGGAAACGACAUCGAAAGCUUGCUUUUGAUGGGCGUCGACCGGCGCACGGGUGAGUAACGUGUAUCCAACCUGCCCACCACUUGGGGAUAACCUUGCGAAAGUAAGACUAAUACCCAAUGAUAUCUCUAGAAGACAUCUGAAGGAGAUUAAAGAUUUAUCGGUGAUGGAUGGGGAUGCGUCUGAUUAGCUUGUUGGCGGGGUAACGGCCCACCAAGGCGACGAUCAGUAGGGGUUCUGAGAGGAAGGUCCCCCACAUUGGAACUGAGACACGGUCCAAACUCCUACGGUAGGCAGCAGUGAGGAAUAUUGGUCAAUGGGCGAGAGUCUGAACCAGCCAAGUAGCGUGCAGGAUGACGGCCCUAUGGGUUGUAAACUGCUUUUAUAAGGGAAUAAAGUGAGUCUCGUGAGACUUUUUGCAUGUACCUUAUGAAUAAGGACCGGCUAAUUCCGUGCCAGCAGCCGCGGUAAUACGGAAGGUCCGGGCGUUAUCCGGAUUUAUUGGGUUUAAAGGGAGCGUAGGCCGGAGAUUAAGCGUGUUGUGAAAUGUAGACGCUCAACGUCUGCACUGCAGCGCGAACUAGUUUCCUUGAGUACGCACAAAGUGGGCGGAAUUCGUGGUGUAGCGGUGAAAUGCUUAGAUAUCACGAAGAACUCCGAUUGCGAAGGCAGCUCACUGGAGCGCAACUGACGCUGAAGCUCGAAAGUGCGGGUAUCGAACAGGAUUAGAUACCCUGGUAGUCCGCACGGUAAACGAUGGAUGCCCGCUGUUGGUCUGAAUAGGUCAGCGGCCAAGCGAAAGCAUUAAGCAUCCCACCUGGGGAGUACGCCGGCAACGGUGAAACUCAAAGGAAUUGACG
RNAcentral lists this ribosomal RNA (899 nucleotides) under uncultured bacterium. RNAcentral describes it as "bacterial SSU rRNA". It matches the Rfam family "Bacterial small subunit ribosomal RNA", at positions 26 to 915 of the family's 1533-position model. The record is from RNAcentral.